GAAGACCCAGACCUCGAGUUGGAAUGGGGAGAACACUUAAACACUUGAUGUGCAGACAUCCUGAGCUUCAGCUGAUCUUACAAGCACAAAGGUCUUUUGUAGGAGGAAUGUACCUACAAAUGUCUGAAUCGUCUAAAAUAUCAGAACUUAUAAGUCAGCAUUUUCAUAUAAAAGUGAAUUAGAAGCAGUUUGAGAAUGCAGUGCUAAUUCAUAUAUGCAUACAUUCAUAACUUGCAUAAAUAUGUUAAAAGUUGUUUGGAAAUGUGACCCAAUGACAUGGAUCCUACUUCUAGACUUUUGAAAAUAUCUGCAUAUGGUUCUUAUCCUUUAGCACUAACAUGACACAUAUAAACAGAUGUAAAUAGCUAAAAGGGGCCUGUAAGCUACUUUGUAAGCACGGCAGGCAAAUACUUCACCAAACUUCUUGGCAUGGUGAAUAUCACCUCUGCCUACCUACACUGUGGGUGAAAGUCCUUAGACCUUGGGUUAUGAUGUAAGUCAUGGAUCUCAGAAUUAGGAAGGAUAUCUGAGGAACUUAGCAGAAUGAUUUAAUCAGUGUCAAGGCAACUUCUUCACCUUUUCAGAGUAGUGGUCACCCAGCCUGUUGGAAUAUGCCCCUCCAAGUGUGCUGAAAUUUACAGAGAUGAUAAGAAAAAAGUUAAUAUGGGGAUAACUAUUGUUAAUGUUUUGCUUAUUUCCUUCUAGUCUUUUUUUUUUUUAAUCUUUUUUUUUUUUUUUUUUGAGAUGAGUCUCACUCUGUCACCC
Molecule: long non-coding RNA, 765 nt
Filed under: Homo sapiens (human)
Lineage: Eukaryota; Metazoa; Chordata; Mammalia; Primates; Hominidae
Description: HSALNT0206499
Source: RNAcentral